GCGGGCAUAGCUCAGUUGGGAGAGCGUCAGACUGAAGCGGAUCUCGAUCCGAGAAACUUCAUUCAAUCAAUCUGAAGGUCGUGUGUUCAAUCCACACUGACCGCA
The sequence is a transfer RNA, 105 nucleotides long. It matches the Rfam family "tRNA". Rfam says of the family: Transfer RNA (tRNA) molecules are approximately 80 nucleotides in length. Their secondary structure includes four short double-helical elements and three loops (D, anti-codon, and T loops). The record is from Rfam.